Long non-coding RNA from Rhinopithecus roxellana (golden snub-nosed monkey), 5386 nucleotides. RefSeq lists it as uncharacterized. The transcript has 4 exons. NCBI's taxonomy places the organism in Eukaryota, Metazoa, Chordata, Mammalia, Primates, Cercopithecidae. The record is from RefSeq and is a predicted model, not a curated record.
AUCCUCACAUGCUGGAAGAGCGGGAGAUAACCCACUCUUAUGACCUAAACACCUCACUCUAGGCCCCACCUCCCAACGCUCUUUCAUUGGGAAUUGAGUUUCAUCAUGAAUUUGGGAGGGUACAAAAACACCCAAACUAUAGCACCCUCCAAGAGGUUAUAGUAGCAGACUUGAGAAUGAUCACCUCCAGGUUUUAUAAAGAUUAAAUUUUCCUCAUUUUACUUCAGUGCUUUGUCCCCCAUGAGUAUGUUAGGUUGCUUUUAACUGUAUGUAAUGGAAAACCUGAUUAACAAUGUGGACUAUUUAUUGGUCUGGAGUGGGAGAUCUCAGUGAGUUUCUGAAAGACCCAGGCUCUCUCCAUCCUUCUGCACAGCCAUCCUCAGCUGGCUGGCUUUUUGUCCAUGGACUUGUAGUUUCAUGGUUAUAGAAUGGCUGCCACAGCUCCAGACAGCACAUCUUCACAUGCUGCAGCCAAAAGCAGGUAGCAGGGAAUAGGUUGCCAGAGUGGAAAGUGGAAAGAGAGCUGGACAUUAUGCACCUAUUUGUUUUUUGCAUCAGUAAGAAAUGUCUUUUCCAGAACCUCCUGCCUACACCUUUCUUCCCCUGAGACCUUCCUUUAUACCAAAUCAGCCACAUCUGGGUUACACUGGCAAAGCCUAGCUGCAAAGGAGGCUGGCAAACUGAGUAUCUGUCAUUUUUCAGAGUCAAUGGUCUGGUCUGUAAACUAGGAUUAAAUUUAACUGCAUGGAACAAACACCCGAAUGACAUUGGCUUAAACAGGAGAGGAACUUAUCUCUCACAUAAGGGAAGUUGUAGGGUAAAGGUGGGGUGGUGGACAAUCUGUGGUUGGUAUUGGCAGAUCCAUGAGGUUGUUAGAGGUCCAGGCCUUUUCCAGAUCUCUGCUCCCACAUCCUAAGGGUGUACUCCUUGCCCUCAGGGUCCAAGAUGGUCACUAGCCAUCAGCAGGGCUCCCUUUAUGGAUUUCCUAGAAGUCUCACGGGGCACUUGUGCUUUGUAUCUUAUUGGCAAGAACUUGGUUGCAAAGGAAGCUGGGAAAUGUAGUUUUUAUUCACGGUGGCCGUAUGCCAAAAUAAAACUCAGGAUUUUGUUACUAAGGAAGAAGAUUGUGUCUUACGUUGGGUAUCCUAGAAGCAGGCCCGGAAACAAAGAUUGUUCACAGAAGAAAUGCUCCUAGAAGAAUUCAAUAAGGAGCUAGAAGGAUAGCCAUGCAAGGAUCUCAGCUAGUUAUAUGACAGGUAGUUUCAGCCUGACCUGAAGGGGAGCUCUCAACUGUAAACGAUGCCUCUGAGAUGUCCCUGCCCCAGGCAGGGUAUCUGGGCUUCCAUUCUUCUAUGCCUGUCAGCCACUGGCUAAGAGCCAGCCUUGUUGAUAACCCAGGUACUUCAAUCUUUCUGUAGGUGGGCAUAAAAGGGCAGUAGUACAAGAACAGCCCUCCCAGAAGAGCUGCAGGAGCCUCAGGUCAGAAGCAAAAGUAUGCCAAGUGGAAGGGGCAGACUCAGAGAAAGGGAUCCAGGAAUCUCUGCAGAGCCCCAGUGGGGUCCCUGUAGGGAUAAUGCCUAGUGGGAAGGAAGUAGCCACCUCUGUCACUGAGGCGAGGAGGGGAAGGGUGGGAAUGGCUGAUAGUGGCCAACAGGCAGCCUGUGCAGCAUGUGUGCAGUUCUUGCCUAUGAGAUAGUGAGAAUCAUGGAAAGUCAUAAGCAAGAGGGAAGACAGAAAAGACCGGGAGACCAAGUGCUGCUGUGUGAGCUCCGGGCGCUCUUCCAAGUUUAGGUGUUUUAAAUAGUGACAGCAGUUACAAUGGGGGCAAAUUGAUGCUGAUCAGGAACACAUGUAGACAUUUAAUUAUAGUAUUUGUUUUAUAAACAGGGAUUUUCUGGAACACAAGAGUAUUUCCUUUGCAAGAACUGUCCAUAUUCUUUGCCCACUUACCUGUGGGAUUGUUGGAUUACUGGUUGAUUUGUAGAAGCUCUUUCAAUACGAGGGAAAUCAGGCCUUGGUCUGUCAUGGGUAUCCCUGUUUUUUCUCAGUUCAUAGAUUUUGUGUGUUCACAGAUUGUUCUUCCUUGCCACGUACUAUGUCGGGAGUGAUAUUGCUAACUGUUCACCACAUUCUCCAAAAGACCUGUCAUCAUAUCCCACCCCCAGCCCAGGGCUGCUGGAAGACUGUGCCACAUGGGAGGGGAGGAAAGUAUCAGCCAGCAGGUUCUGCUGCAGCCUCUGCACAGAAGCAGAUGUGUCCCCACAAGGGUGUCAUGAUAUAUUAUGUUCCCUAGUUCCUUAGUCAUUGCUCAGGUUAUCAUGAGCAUUUUAGAGAACUUACUUUGUGUUUAAGAAACCUGGUGGUAUAUAAAGCUAUAAUGACUUUUAAUCAUAUGAAAAGAUAGUACAGACUGUGAGAAGGGAAAUUGACAUGACCUGUUUGGUGGACUAUGUGCAAUAUCUAUUGAAAUUAGAAAUGCAUAUGGCUUUGACCCAGCAAUUCCACCUUGAGAGUUUAUACUAACAAUACAUUCACACAUGUACAUGAAGAAGUAUGUGCAAGGAUGUUCAUUUCCACAUAUGGAUUGUAAACUCCUCCACGGAGGUGACACUGAAUGUCUCAUUUUCUUCUCUAUCUUCCCUAGAACAGUGACUGGCACACAAUAGGCGCCAAUACAGAUUUUUUUUUUUUAAUAAUGAAGAGUUAAGGGCUGGGAAAACCCCCGUGUUUCAUGGUUGAAUAAUUAUGGUACCUCCAUAGAAUGGAAUAUUGUACAAUCAUGAAGAAGAGGUAUAUUGAAGUGUGUGUGAUACUGAACCAUCUCUAAGGUAUAAUGUUAACAGCAAGGUGUAGAGUAGGGCAAGUAGUAUGCUGCUGUUUGUUUAAAAAGAAAAAAAAUAACAUACAUAGAUGUGGAAAUAUGCAAAAACAGUCUCUGCGAAGGUUUACAAGAAUUGCCCAUAGAGGUUGAGAGAGAAACUCUUCACCAUAGGCUGUCUUUUGUGGGGGUUGCUUUUUUCAUGUGUGUAUAAUGUAUGUUACCUAUUCUAAAUAAGUAAAUAAAUGAGGUGCUGUUUCCGAGUGCACUUCAAUCAGUUUCUCCUCUGGUAGGGAAGACCGCCACAGGAGCUUUCCAGUUCUGUGGUUCCGCGUUGCCAGAGCAAGCCUGCUUUGCUUGUUGUGUAGUUCCGGCUUGUCUCCCUUUCUCUGAGUCUUGCCUUGCCACACUCUUUUUUGCCUCGGACCUAGUCAUGUUUCCUCACAUUGAAACUUCCAGGGAAGGAGCUGCUGAGCAGAUGCAUACUGUAGUGUCAGUGGCUAUCAUGGCUCACUGCAUUGCUCAUCUCGGAAGUAUUGUUAUUUAAAUAGGGACAAGGUCUUGAACCAAGAUACCUAAGUUCUGACUGAGCAUAUUGCAGCACUGGCUCCUGUGCCCUAUGCUAGGUAGAGGUAUCCAGCAGCCCCUGAACAGCUGUACUUGCACCCCUCCUAUCCUCUUGACUACAUAAAGAGGCCAGAGAGCAGAGAGAAAGGGCUCUGAGAGGCAUUGGCUGUUUAUUUUCCUUGUCUUGACCAACUUGGGCUACCAUAACAAAAUACCUCAGACUGGGUGGCUUAAACAACAGAAAUGUGUUUUCUUAUGAACUGGAAGCUGGGAUGUCCAAGAUCAAGAUGCCGGCUGAUUCAGUUCCUGCUGAGGCCCCUCUUCCUGACGUGGCCUGGAACAGUGUGCUCACACAGCAGAGAGGGAAGCAGCAAGCCUCUAUGUCUCUUCUUAUAAGGAUGCUAAUCCCAUCAUGGGAUUAGGAAUUAUGGUUAGACUUCAUCUAACCCUAAUCGCCUGCCAAAGGCCCCACCUCCAAAUAUCAUCACAUUGGAGGUUAGGGCUUCAACACAUGAACUGGCGGGGAUGCAAUUCAGUCUAUAGCAAACCCCUCCCAGAGGGCCUGGGAUGUGUCUUCCCGGCAGAUGAGAGGACUGGGCAUGAGGAGACUGGGUGGUUGGCUGUGGAGAAAGAAGUGCAUAGUGACACUGCCAUCCUGGCUACCUUUGGCCACCCCAGCUUGUGGAAUGUAAGAAGGCCCAGGAACCAGUUCCUAUGCACCUCAGGCCCCAGGUUUUCUUAGCCAAGCCCUGAGAAUACAUCAAGAACAGGUGAGGGCAUGUGGACGCAGGUGUGCGGGGGGGCCUCCCAGCAGCUGUCCCUGCUUCCUGCUAAUGCUGCUCUGAUUUUCGCCUUUGCUCACGUCUCUCCGGUGCUGCUGAACACACCCCGUUCUGGCAAUCUGACUGGAGAGAGACAGUGUCACUGUGGUGGGCUCAGGGAUAGACUCGGGACCCUAUUUGGACAAGUAAGUCAGGAGAAGCGGUUGGUGGAGUCUUGGAGGGAAGUUGUCUUGCUCUUCUGAGCGUGUGUGCUCUCGCUUCCUCUGCCGUGCGUGUGAGAGGAAGCCUGUGCCCCAGAAGCUGGUGGUGCCAUCUUGCCUCCUCAGGAAAGAGGGCUCAGGAUGGUGUCGACUCAGUGGAAGGCAGAGAUGAAGCUCGGAAAGAAACCAGGCCCUUGGGGGUGUUACUAACCCACUGGACUGUGACCCAUUUGAAGCCUGCCCUGUCUCUAGACUUUGUUGUAAGAACCAGUAGCACAGUGGCUCAGAGAGUGGACUUGGAGCCAGGCUGCCCACUUUGUAGCCCAGCUUGACCUGUGUGAUCCGAGAAUAAUCUUGUUUAAUCUCCACGAGUUUGAGGACUAAACUGGGUGCCAGAGAGAAGUUAAGUAACUUGCUGAGAUUGUGUCAGUAACACGGGAGCAGGGAAGAGAUUCAGGCUCAGGGAGCCUGGUUGGACUUCAGACCCCUGUGAGGCUGACUCUAUAGUCCUAGAGAAACUCAACAGCCAGGAACUUAGGACCAUUUGUGUGUGGCAUUUGGGCUAACCAGAUUGGUGGCUUCUAAAGAAGAUGGAAAGCAUCAAGUUUCCUGUAUUUAAAUUAUUUGGUGAUCUCAAUACUGGUUGUUGGCCAAAGUACACAAUGGAGACAGGCUAUUUGCUCUACUACUUUUGAUGUAGAAAUAUUACUAAGCUUGAGCUGAUUAAUAGAAGUGUUAGACAUUUCUGUGCUCCCCUUACCAGUGGCAUGAAACAAUUCUUUUAAAACCUGCCAUGUGUUCACAUUUAAAACUAAAAGUAAUUUAGAUUACAUGGAUUUGAGAAGCCCAUGUUGACACAUAAUUGCCAACAGAUGGGUUUUCAAAUGUAAUGAAGUAAAAAUGGUCAGUACCCCAUGUGUUGGAUUUUGCAGUUUUCCAAAGUAAGCCCUCAGUUUUGGCAUGUCAUGCUAGUUAAGAACACAAUGUAUUUAUAGCUCAAUUAUACAUUUUCUGAUGAA